Molecule: ribosomal RNA, 368 nt
Filed under: uncultured organism
Description: bacterial SSU rRNA
Rfam family: Bacterial small subunit ribosomal RNA
Source: RNAcentral
CGAAGGUGGCAAGCGUUGUUCGGAUUUACUGGGCGUACAGGGAGCGUAGGCGGUUGGAUAAGCCCUCCGUGAAAUCUCCAGGCUUAACCUGGAAAGUGCAGAGGGGACUGUUCAGCUAGAGGAUGGGAGAGGAGCGCGGAAUUCCCGGUGUAGCGGUGAAAUGCGUAGAGAUCGGGAGGAAGGCCGGUGGCGAAGGCGGCGCUCUGGAACAUUUCUGACGCUGAGGCUCGAAAGCGUGGGGAGCAAACAGGAUUAGAUACCCUGGUAGUCCACGCCUUAAACGAUGGAUACUAAGUGUCGGCGGGUUACCGCCGGUGCCGCAGCUAACGCAGUAAGUAUCCCGCCUGGGAAGUACGGCCGCAAGGUUG